AGUGAACGCUGGCGGUAGGCCUAAUACAUGCAAGUCGAACGGCAGCACAGUAAGAGCUUGCUCUUCCGGGUGGCGAGUGGCGGACGGGUGAGGCAUACAUCGGAAUCUACUUUUUCGUGGGGGAUAACGUGGGGAAAUUUACGCUAAUACCGCAUACGACCUACUGGUUAAAGCAGGCGUUCUUCGUACCUUGCGCGAUCUAAUGAGCCGACUUAGAAUUAGUUAGUUGGUGGGGUAAAGGCCCACUAAGGCGACGAUCCGUAGCUGGCCUGGGAGGAUGUGGAGCCACACGGGAACUAGGACACGGUCCAGACUCCAACGGGAGGAAGCAGUGGGGAAGAUUGGACAAUGGGCGCAAGCCUGAUCCAGCCAUACCGGGUAGGUGAAGAAGGCCUUCGGGUUGUAAAGCCCGUUUGUUGGGAAAGAAAAGCAGCAGGUUAAUACCCCGCUGUUCUGACGGUACCCAAAGAGUAAGCACCGGCUAACUUCGUG
RNAcentral lists this ribosomal RNA (492 nucleotides) under uncultured bacterium. RNAcentral describes it as "partial 16S ribosomal RNA". It matches the Rfam family "Bacterial small subunit ribosomal RNA", at positions 29 to 507 of the family's 1533-position model. The record is from RNAcentral.